GACGAACGCUGGCGGCGUGCUUAACACAUGCAAGUCGAACGAUGAACCCGGAGCUUGCUCUGGGGGAUUAGUGGCGAACGGGUGAGUAACACGUGAGUAACCUGCCCUGGACUCUGGGAUAAGCGUUGGAAACGACGUCUAAUACCGGAUAGGACCUUGGAUCGCAUGAUCUGGGGUGGAAAGUUUUUUCGGUCUGGGAUGGACUCGCGGCCUAUCAGCUUGUUGGUGAGGUAAUGGCUCACCAAGGCGUCGACGGGUAGCCGGCCUGAGAGGGUGACCGGCCACACUGGGACUGAGACACGGCCCAGACUCCUACGGGAGGCAGCAGUAGGGAAUAUGGCACAAUGGGCGAAAGCCUGAUGCAGCAACGCCGCGUGCGGGAUGACGGCCUUCGGGUUGUAAACCGCUUUUAGUAGGGAAGAAGGGCUUCGGCUUGACGGUACCUGCAGAAAAAGGACCGGCUAACUACGUG
This 472-nucleotide ribosomal RNA is filed under the name uncultured bacterium. RNAcentral's name for it is "partial 16S ribosomal RNA". It matches the Rfam family "Bacterial small subunit ribosomal RNA", at positions 28 to 507 of the family's 1533-position model. The record is from RNAcentral.